This 638-nucleotide ribosomal RNA is filed under the name Salmonella enterica subsp. enterica serovar Kingabwa. Its description in RNAcentral is "partial 23S ribosomal RNA". It matches the Rfam family "Bacterial large subunit ribosomal RNA", at positions 667 to 1289 of the family's 2925-position model. Lineage: Bacteria; Pseudomonadati; Pseudomonadota; Gammaproteobacteria; Enterobacterales; Enterobacteriaceae. The record is from RNAcentral.
CGGAGGGAAACCGAGUCUUAACCGGGCGUUAAGUUGCAGGGUAUAGACCCGAAACCCGGUGAUCUAGCCAUGGGCAGGUUGAAGGUUGGGUAACACUAACUGGAGGACCGAACCGACUAAUGUUGAAAAAUUAGCGGAUGACCUGUGGCUGGGGGUGAAAGGCCAAUCAAACCGGGAGAUAGCUGGUUCUCCCCGAAAGCUAUUUAGGUAGCGCCUCGUGAAUUCAUCUCCGGGGGUAGAGCACUGUUUCGGCUAGGGGGCCAUCCCGGCUUACCAACCCGAUGCAAACUGCGAAUACCGGAGAAUGUUAUCACGGGAGACACACGGCGGGUGCUAACGUCCGUCGUGAAGAGGGAAACAACCCAGACCGCCAGCUAAGGUCCCAAAGUCAUGGUUAAGUGGGAAACGAUGUGGGAAGGCCCAGACAGCCAGGAUGUUGGCUUAGAAGCAGCCAUCAUUUAAAGAAAGCGUAAUAGCUCACUGGUCGAGUCGGCCUGCGCGGAAGAUGUAACGGGGCUAAACCAUGCACCGAAGCUGCGGCAGCGAACGUAUCACUUAAAGCGAUUCAGCGGGUUACGAUUGACGGAGCGAAGCGACGUCAAAGCGUAUACAAAGUCGAGUCGGUUUAAGGAUACGUU